UGGUGAUGAUCAGCCUCAAGUUGAAUUUUGUAUGUAAAUUCAUGCUUUGAAAGGUCAUAUAUGUAACUCGAAUGUGGUGUAAUUUUUUUUUGUUUUUUUGUGUGUGUGUGUGUGUGUGUGUGGCCGAAGUUAGGAAGAGGGAGAGGGAAUUUCUUUCACACACACAUUGCCAA
Molecule: small RNA, 173 nt
Filed under: Prunus dulcis (almond)
Lineage: Eukaryota; Viridiplantae; Streptophyta; Magnoliopsida; Rosales; Rosaceae
Description: sRNA ncRNA
Source: RNAcentral